UGGGGAAUAUUGGACAAUGGGGGCAACCCUGAUCCAGCAAUGCCGCGUGUGUGAAGAAGGUCUUCGGAUUGUAAAGCACUUUCGACGGGGACGAUGAUGACGGUACCCGUAGAAGAAGCCCCGGCUAACUUCGUGCCAGCAGCCGCGGUAAUACGAAGGGGGCUAGCGUUGCUCGGAAUGACUGGGCGUAAAGGGCGCGUAGGCGGCGGCGUAAGUCAGAUGUGAAAUUCCUGGGCUUAACCUGGGGGCUGCAUUUGAGACUGCGAUGCUAGAGGAUGGAAGAGGCUCGUGGAAUUCCCAGUGUAGAGGUGAAAUUCGUAGAUAUUGGGAAGAACACCGGUGGCGAAGGCGGCGAGCUGGUCCAUUACUGACGCUGAGGCGCGAUAGCGUGGGGAGCAAACAGG
RNAcentral lists this ribosomal RNA (404 nucleotides) under uncultured bacterium. Its description in RNAcentral is "bacterial SSU rRNA". It matches the Rfam family "Bacterial small subunit ribosomal RNA", at positions 355 to 776 of the family's 1533-position model. The record is from RNAcentral.